UCGCUGAGGGUUAACUUAAUAGACACGGCUAAGCAUGUAGUACCGACAGCGGAGUACUGGCGGACGGGGGUUCAAAUCCCCCCGGCUCCACCACACACCCUAUACAAAUCAAGCACUUAGCGUUUAUCGCAAGUGCUUUUUUUGUGCCUUUUGGGGCUGUUUUGGCUGGGUAAUGCCAGCUUAAUGACAGCAUCACAAUGCAAGGAAGCAGCAUGAGUGGUUACGUACCAAACCUGCCUAAGGGCUACCGCCAUAGCGGCGUAGAGCCUGUUGAUACUUAUGCCCAGCGUUGGGCGGAAUACAAAGAUCUCCCCGCGAAGACGGAGUUGAACGCCACUACCAAAGGCUGUGUAUU
Molecule: transfer-messenger RNA, 355 nt
Filed under: Pseudomonas cichorii
Lineage: Bacteria; Pseudomonadati; Pseudomonadota; Gammaproteobacteria; Pseudomonadales; Pseudomonadaceae
Rfam family: transfer-messenger RNA (bases 1-93)
Source: RNAcentral